This is an RNA transcript of Leptidea sinapis, 1279 nucleotides long. RefSeq lists it as uncharacterized. The record is from RefSeq and is a predicted model, not a curated record. NCBI's taxonomy places the organism in Eukaryota, Metazoa, Arthropoda, Insecta, Lepidoptera, Pieridae. The transcript has 6 exons.
UUUGUCAGACCAAAAUGUCAUAAAAUAUUUACUUUAGUACCUAAUAGAUAAUUCAGUAAUUCGGUAAUGAAUUACAAAUAGCUAUAUGCCGAAAAACGGUCUUAUAUAAACCAAUAGCAUGAUGGAUAGUGAACCUAAAAAAAAUAUUAGAAGAAUUGCCAGGCAAGAAUCUUCCUCUUUAGUUUCGCGUUGACUAUUUAAGGGAUCUAAAACAAGAUGCAAAGAUACAAUAGAAUCUCCAGAACGUCGAUUUCCAUUGAUUGCGAAAGAUUCAGAAUGGGUAGAUAUUUCUGGAACUCAAGCGGCAUCUUCAAGAGGACACGCUGGACAAGCAGGAGAGCACGUUCAACAAUCAGCGCCUGAAGAAGGUGAAGUUAAGCGUGUGAUGACAAGUAUGUUUCCAAAUUUAUUAGACGAAGAUCCGGAAACAUUAGACAGCAUUAUCAACAGCACAAUAUCCACAACCGAUGUGACUAGACAUCUAGUGGGCCACAAAGCUGACUUUACAUUUCUAAAGAAAGUAGAGCGAUUGAUACCUCCUGAUAAGAAAUGGUUAGAGAGUGUGCAAGAAAACAGUAAUUCCCUUAGUUCAAUUGACACAAGGGGACAUGAGGACUAUCAGUCGUGCAGUACAACAGAUGAUUCAUUGACAUGCAGCAAUAUUCAUUAUUCAAGUACCAAAGGGUUUAAAAUGGAAUCAAAUCAUAAAGAUAGUAUAGAAGAUUACAACAAUGAACAAUCUACUUUGCGUUAGAAUAGUUCCGAUCAGUCAACAUUAUAAAGUAUUAUAUUACUAAUAAACUAUUUAUAAUAUAAAUUCGUAUUUCUCUUUUGUUAAGUGAUUAAAACAAAGUAAGUCUUCGUAAGUCGCAUCACUUAUUAUGUUUGGUAUAAUAAGAAAAAAAAUCUGUUUUGAUUCUGGGCACCGGUCAUUACUAUAAUCACUGGUAAAUUCGUUAACACCGAUCGAAUGGACACACUAAGCUUGGUGGUCUACUGAAACGUGACAUUGGCGAAUUGUGGUGCCCCAUCCACUGAAGCCACUAGAAAGAAUAGAAUAGAAGUUUAUUACAAAUCACAUAAAUUAAUAAUGGUUUGGUGUGGCAACACAGGGCCGCCAAACAUGAAUUCCGGCCUAUGGACUUGCAUCCCGUGCCACUAAAUAAAUUAAAAAAAAAAGAUGAAUUCCAUAUUUCUAAAUGAAAAGGGAUAAAUAAAAAACAACAACUUAUGCACUUCUGGUUUCUAUUCUCAUCAUAGAUUUAAUUGUUCUUAAUCA